GUUCGCGUAGUGUAGUGGUUAUCACGUUCGCCUCACACGCGAAAGGUCCCCGGUUCGAACCCGGGCGAAAACA
This is a non-coding RNA of Ciona savignyi (Pacific transparent sea squirt), 73 nucleotides long. The record is from Rfam. Lineage: Eukaryota; Metazoa; Chordata; Ascidiacea; Phlebobranchia; Cionidae.